RNAcentral lists this ribosomal RNA (253 nucleotides) under uncultured bacterium. RNAcentral describes it as "partial 16S ribosomal RNA". It matches the Rfam family "Bacterial small subunit ribosomal RNA", at positions 524 to 776 of the family's 1533-position model. The record is from RNAcentral.
UACAGAGGUCCCGAGCGUUGUUCGGAUUCACUGGGCGUAAAGGGUGCGUAGGUGGCAUGGUAAGUUUGAUGUGAAAGCUCAGGGCUCAACCCUGAAAUGGCAUUGAAUACUACUGUGCUGGAGGUUUGGAGGGGGGACUGGAAUUCUUGGUGUAGCAGUGAAAUGCGUAGAGAUCAUGAGGAAGACCAGUGGCGAAGGCGGGUCUCUGGACAGUUCCUGACACUGAGGCACGAAGGCCAGGGGAGCAAACGGG